This 264-nucleotide ribosomal RNA is filed under the name uncultured bacterium. RNAcentral describes it as "partial 16S ribosomal RNA". It matches the Rfam family "Bacterial small subunit ribosomal RNA", at positions 106 to 340 of the family's 1533-position model. The record is from RNAcentral.
CUACUCCCCUGUGUCGCCUUGCCUCCACGACUCGGCCGCGUCGACUCGCCUGAUAGUGGGGAUAACGUCCGGAACGGGCGCUAAUACCGCAUAAUUCCAGUGAUCUCCUGAUCGUUGGAUGAAAGGUGGCUUCGGCUACCGCUUAUGGAUGGACCCGCGGCGUAUUAGCUAGUUGGUGAGGUAAUGGCUCACCAAGGCAAUGAUACGUAGCCGACCUGAGAGGGUGAUCGGCCACACUGGGACUGAGACACGGCCCAGACUCCU